This 435-nucleotide ribosomal RNA is filed under the name Klebsiella pneumoniae. Its description in RNAcentral is "partial 23S ribosomal RNA". It matches the Rfam family "Bacterial large subunit ribosomal RNA", at positions 1488 to 1900 of the family's 2925-position model. The record is from RNAcentral. Lineage: Bacteria; Pseudomonadati; Pseudomonadota; Gammaproteobacteria; Enterobacterales; Enterobacteriaceae.
CAGCCGGGCGACGGUUGUCCCGGUUUAAGCAUGUAGGCGGAGGUUCCAGGUAAAUCCGGUACCUUUUAACGCUGAGGUGUGAUGACGAGGCACUACGGUGCUGAAGUGAUAAAUGCCCUGCUUCCAGGAAAAGCCUCUAAGCAUCAGGUAACACGAAAUCGUACCCCAAACCGACACAGGUGGUCAGGUAGAGAAUACCAAGGCGCUUGAGAGAACUCGGGUGAAGGAACUAGGCAAAAUGGUGCCGUAACUUCGGGAGAAGGCACGCUGAUAUGUAGGUGAAGCCCCUGCGGGCGGAGCUGAAAUCAGUCGAAGAUACCAGCUGGCUGCAACUGUUUAUUAAAAACACAGCACUGUGCAAACACGAAAGUGGACGUAUACGGUGUGACGCCUGCCCGGUGCCGGAAGGUUAAUUGAUGGGGUUAGCGGCAACGC